GCCGGGCGCGGUGGCGGGCACCUGUAAUCCCAGCUACUCGGGAGGCUGAGGCAGGAUAAUUGCUUGAACCCGGGAGUUGGAGGUUGCAGUGAGCUGAGAUCACACCACUGCACUCUAGCCUGGGUGACAGAGCAAGACUCUGCGUCCA
Molecule: non-coding RNA, 148 nt
Organism: Pan troglodytes (chimpanzee)
Lineage: Eukaryota; Metazoa; Chordata; Mammalia; Primates; Hominidae
Rfam family: Metazoan signal recognition particle RNA
About the family: The signal recognition particle (SRP) is a universally conserved ribonucleoprotein. It is involved in the co-translational targeting of proteins to membranes.
Source: Rfam